ACUCCUAACCACACAUUGAGCUACACUAUCAACAUAGAAGAACUUAUGUUAAAACUAGUAACAAGAAAGCUUCUCUAUACACCCCCCUGUAUCAGUUAUAGAAAACCUGCUGACAAUUAACAGACCGAACAACGCCAAAAUAACAAAAUCAUGUUUAACUUACUGUCACACCAACACUGGAGUGUUAUAAAGAUUAGAUUAAAAGGUGUAAAAGGAACUCAGCAAAACACUGCCCCAACUGUUUACCAAAAACAUAGCCCCUGGCAACACAAGUAUCAGGGGUGUCGCCUGCCCAGUGAAACUAUUUCAACGGCCGCGGUAUUCUAACCGUGCAAAGGUAGCGUAAUCAUUUGUCUCCUAAAUAAAGACCAGUAUGAACGGCUAAAUGAGGACAGACCUGUCUCCUACACCCAAUCAGUGAAACUGAUCUUCCAGUACAAAAGCUGGAAUAAACACAUAAGACGAGAAGACCCCGUGGAGCUUAAGAUUAACUACUACCAACCCCUGCCCUAGUACACAAUCUUGAGUUGGGGCGACUUCGGAACAAAACAAAACUUCCGAGCACAGAACUAACAGUUCUCACCAAGGCCCACAAGCCAAAGGACAACAUGACCCAGUCACACUGACCAACGAACCAAGUUACCCCGGGGAUAACAGCGCUAUCUUCUUCAAGAGCCCUUAUCGACAAGAAGGUUUACGACCUCGAUGUUGGAUCAGGACACCCCAAUGGUGCAGCCGCUAUUAAUGGUUCGUUUGUUCAACGAUUAACAGU
RNAcentral lists this ribosomal RNA (772 nucleotides) under Tropidophorus sinicus. RNAcentral describes it as "partial 16S rRNA". It matches the Rfam family "Bacterial large subunit ribosomal RNA", at positions 1646 to 2594 of the family's 2925-position model. Lineage: Eukaryota; Metazoa; Chordata; Lepidosauria; Squamata; Scincidae. The record is from RNAcentral.